Cinara cedri is the source of this 256-nucleotide non-coding RNA. NCBI's taxonomy places the organism in Eukaryota, Metazoa, Arthropoda, Insecta, Hemiptera, Aphididae. The record is from the annotation of a GenBank genome assembly.
UUAUUUAUUUUCUAAACCGUCGCUAACUUUUAAUUUUUUACAUUUCUCCGAUAAAUUUUGCGUUUCAUCUAAAAACACACCUAAAUCUUCCAAAUAUUUCUGUAAACUACCGUGAAACAAUAAAGAUGAGAAACCGAGGAACAUAGUUUCAGUUUUACUCCAGGAGUUAACAUGAUACAUUAUCCCGCAACCACAAAGUCAACAGGAAAAUAAUAAAAUUUGUCGCCCACAGUCAUUUUGAUCCACUUUUUUUUGG